CCCUUUUGGGUCAUCCUAGACUGAAUACAUAGGUCUAGUGAAGCGAACGCGGUGAACUGAAACAUCUAAGUAACCGCAGGAAAAGAAAUCAACCGAGAUUCCCAAAGUAGUGGCGAGCGAAAUGGGAUGAGCCUUGCACUCUUUAUUUGUAUUGUUAGCCGAACGCUCUGGAAAGUGCGGCCAUAGCAGGUGAUAGCCCUGUAGGCGAAAACAGUAUGAAAGAACUAGGUGUGCGACAAGUAGGGCGGGACACGUGAAAUCCUGUCUGAAGAUGGGGGGACCAUCCUCCAAGGCUAAAUACUCGUGAUCGACCGAUAGUGAACCAGUACCGUGAGGGAAAGGCGAAAAGAACCCCGGGAGGGGAGUGAAAUAGAUCCUGAAACCGCAUGCAUACAAACAGUCGGAGCCUCGCAAGGGGUGACGGCGUACCUUUUGUAUAAUGGGUCAGCGACUUACGUUCAGUAGCAAGCUUAACCGUAUAGGGCAGGCGUAGCGAAAGCGAGUCCGAAUAGGGCGUUCAGUUGCUGGGCGUAGACCCGAAACCAGGUGAUCUAUCCAUGGCCAGGAUGAAGGUGCGGUAACACGUACUGGAGGUCCGAACCCACUAACGUUGAAAAGUUAGGGGAUGAGCUGUGGAUAGGGGUGAAAGGCUAAACAAACCUGGAAAUAGCUGGUUCUCUCCGAAAACUAUUUAGGUAGUGCCUCGUGUCUCACCUUCGGGGGUAGAGCACUGUCAUGGUUGGGGGGUCUAUUGCAGAUUACCCCGCCAUAGCAAACUCCGAAUACCGAAGAGUGCAAUCACGGGAGACAGACAUCGGGUGCUAACGUCCGGUGUCAAGAGGGAAACAACCCAGACCGCCAGCUAAGGUCCCCAAAUAUAGCUAAGUGGGAAACGAAGUGGGAAGGCUAAAACAGUCAGGAGGUUGGCUUAGAAGCAGCCACCCUUUAAAGAAAGCGUAAUAGCUCACUGAUCGAGUCGUCCUGCGCGGAAGAUGUAACGGGGCUAAGCUAUAUACCGAAGCUGCGGAUGCGAGCUUGCUCGCAUGGUAGGAGAGCGUUCCGUAAGCCUGCGAAGGUGCCUUGUAAAGGGUGCUGGAGGUAUCGGAAGUGCGAAUGCUGACAUGAGUAGCGAUAAAGGGGGUGAAAGGCCCCCUCGCCGUAAGCCCAAGGUUUCCUACGCAACGUUCAUCGGCGUAGGGUGAGUCGGCCCCUAAGGCGAGGCAGAAAUGCGUAGCUGAUGGGAAGCAGGUCAAUAUUCCUGCACCAUUGUUAGAUGCGAUGGGGGGACGGAUCGCGGAAGGUUGUCCGGGUGUUGGAAGUCCCGGUCGCUGCAUUGGAGAAGGCGCUUAGGCAAAUCCGGGCGCAGGAUUCAAGGGUGUGGCGCGAGCUCCUUAGGGAGCGAAGCAAUUGGAAGUGGUUCCAAGAAAAGCCUCUAAGCUUCAGUCUAACGAUGACCGUACCGCAAACCGACACAGGUGGGCGAGAUGAGUAUUCUAAGGCGCUUGAGAGAACUCGGGAGAAGGAACUCGGCAAAUUGGUACCGUAACUUCGGGAUAAGGUACGCCCUUGUAGCUUGACUGGCCUGCGCCAGGAGGGUGAAGGGGUUGCAAUAAACUGGUGGCUGCGACUGUUUAAUAAAAACACAGCACUCUGCAAACACGAAAGUGGACGUAUAGGGUGUGACGCCUGCCCGGUGCCGGAAGAUUAAAUGAUGGGGUGCAAGCUCUUGAUUGAAGUCCCGGUAAACGGCGGCCGUAACUAUAACGGUCCUAAGGUAGCGAAAUUCCUUGUCGGGUAAGUUCCGACCUGCACGAAUGGCGUAACGAUGGCCACACUGUCUCCUCCCGAGACUCAGCGAAGUUGAAGUGUUUGUGAUGAUGCAAUCUACCCGCGGCUAGACGGAAAGACCCCAUGAACCUUUACUGUAGCUUUGCAUUGGACUUUGAACCGAUCUGUGUAGGAUAGGUGGGAGGCUAUGAAACCGGAACGCUAGUUUCGGUGGAGCCGUCCUUGAAAUACCACCCUGGUUUGUUUGAGGUUCUAACCUUGGCCCGUGAUCCGGGUCGGGGACAGUGCAUGGUAGGCAGUUUGACUGGGGCGGUCUCCUCCCAAAGCGUAACGGAGGAGUACGAAGGUACGCUAGGUACGGUCGGAAAUCGUGCUGAUAGUGCAAUGGCAUAAGCGUGCUUAACUGCGAGACCGACAAGUCGAGCAGGUGCGAAAGCAGGUCAUAGUGAUCCGGUGGUUCUGUAUGGAAGGGCCAUCGCUCAACGGAUAAAAGGUACUCUGGGGAUAACAGGCUGAUACCGCCCAAGAGUUCAUAUCGACGGCGGUGUUUGGCACCUCGAUGUCGGCUCAUCUCAUCCUGGGGCUGUAGCCGGUCCCAAGGGUAUGGCUGUUCGCCAUUUAAAGAGGUACGUGAGCUGGGUUUAAAACGUCGUGAGACAGUUUGGUCCCUAUCUGCCGUGGGCGUUGGAUAUUUGAAGGGGGCUGCUCCUAGUACGAGAGGACCGGAGUGGACGAACCUCUGGUGUACCGGUUGUCACGCCAGUGGCAUCGCCGGGUAGCUAUGUUCGGAAGAGAUAACCGCUGAAAGCAUCUAAGCGGGAAACUCGCCUUAAGAUGAGAUAUCCCUGGGGACUAGAUCCCCUUGAAGGGUCGUUCGAGACCAGGACGUUGAUAGGUCAGGUGUGUAAGCGCAGUAAUGCGUUCAGCUAACUGAUACUAAUUGCCCGUAAGGCUUGAUCCUAUAACA
RNAcentral lists this ribosomal RNA (2755 nucleotides) under Burkholderia cenocepacia. Its description in RNAcentral is "bacterial LSU rRNA". It matches the Rfam family "Bacterial large subunit ribosomal RNA". The record is from RNAcentral. Lineage: Bacteria; Pseudomonadati; Pseudomonadota; Betaproteobacteria; Burkholderiales; Burkholderiaceae.